GAUGAAGAACGCAGCGAAAUGCGAUAAGUAAUGUGAAUUGCAGAAUUCAGUGAAUCAUCGAAUCUUUGAACGCACCUUGCGCCCUUUGGCUAUUCUGAAGGGCAUGCCUGUUUGAGUAUCAUGAACACCUCAACUCUCAUGGUUUGCCAUGAUGAGCUUGGACUUUGGGGGUCUUGCUGGCCUACGGUCAGCUCCUCUCAAAUGAAUCAGCUUGCCAGUGUUUGGUAGAGUCGCAGGUGUGAUAACUAUCUACGCUUGUGGUUUUCUGCCAGAUAACCUUCAGUGAUGGAGGUUCGCUUGAGCUUAUAAAUGUCUCUCCCCAGUGAGGACAGCUUUUUGAACGUUUGAUCUCAAAUCAGGUAGGACUACCCGCUGAACUUAAGCAUAUCAAUAAGCGGAGGA
RNAcentral lists this unclassified non-coding RNA (402 nucleotides) under soil metagenome. RNAcentral's name for it is "partial contains 5.8S ribosomal RNA, internal transcribed spacer 2, and large subunit ribosomal RNA". The stretch from base 1 to 121 matches the Rfam family "5.8S ribosomal RNA", at positions 35 to 154 of the family's 154-position model. The record is from RNAcentral.